AUCUGGUUGAUCCUGCCAGUAGUCAUACGCUCGUCUCAAAGAUUAAGCCAUGCAUGUGUAAGUAUAAAUAGUCUACUUUAAAACUGCGAAUGGCUCAUUAUAUCAGUUAUAGUUUAUUUGAUGAAAUAUACUACUUGGAUAACCGUAGUAAUUCUAGAGCUAAUACAUGAUCGUCUCCUCGACUUUGAAGAGGUGUAUUUAUUAGAAUGAAAACCAAUAGACUUUGUCUGUUUGUGAGUAAUAAUAACUUGUCAUAUCGCAUGCUUUUGUAGCGAUGUGUCUUUUAAGUUUCUGCCCUAUCAGCUUUCGAUGGUAGUGUAUUGGACUACCAUGGCAGUAACGGGUAACGAAGAAUUUGGGUUCGAUUUCGGAGAGGGAGCCUGAGAGAUGGCUACCACAUCCAGGGAAGGCAGCAGGCGCGUAAAUUACCCAAUCCUGACACAGGGAGGUAGUGACAAUAAAUCACAAUGCGGAACUUUUGUUUUGCAAUUGGAUUGAGAACAACGCACAACACUUAUCGAUAAACAAUUGGAGGGCAAGUCUGGUGCCAGCAGCCGCGGUAAUUCCAGCUCCAAAUAGGCUAAUAUU
This 588-nucleotide ribosomal RNA is filed under the name Blastocystis sp. subtype 10. Its description in RNAcentral is "SSU rRNA". It matches the Rfam family "Eukaryotic small subunit ribosomal RNA", at positions 1 to 605 of the family's 1831-position model. Lineage: Eukaryota; Bigyra; Opalinata; Blastocystidae. The record is from RNAcentral.